Molecule: ribosomal RNA, 496 nt
Filed under: uncultured bacterium
Lineage: Bacteria
Description: partial 16S ribosomal RNA
Rfam family: Bacterial small subunit ribosomal RNA
Source: RNAcentral
AUUGAACGCUGGCGGAAUGCUUUACACAUGCAAGUCGAACGGUAGAGGGGGCAACCCCUCGAGAGUGGCGAACGGGUGAGUAAUAUAUCGGAACGUGCCCAGUCGUGGGGGAUAACGUAGCGAAAGUUACGCUAAUACCGCAUACGAUCUAAGGAUGAAAGCGGGGGAUCGCAAGACCUCGCGCGCUGGGAGCGGCGGAUAUCAGAUUAGGUAGUUGGUGGGGUAAAGGCUCACCAAGCCAACGAUCUGUAGCUGGUCUGAGAGGACGACCAGCCACACUGGAACUGAGACACGGUCCAGACUCCUACGGGAGGCAGCAGUGGGGAAUUUUGGACAAUGGACGCAAGUCUGAUCCAGCCAUUCCGCGUGCAGGAUGAAGGCCCUCGGGUUGUAAACUGCUUUUGUACGGAACGAAAAGGUCUCUCUUAAUACGGGGGACUCAUGACGGUACCGUAAGAAUAAGCACCGGCUAACUACGUGCCAGCAGCCGCGGUAA